AUAGGGGAGCCGUAGGGAAACCGAGUCUUAACUGGGCGAAUGAGUUGCAUGACGUAGACCCGAAACCGAGUGAUCUAGCCAUGGGCAGGUUGAAGAUUGAGUAACAUCAAUUGGAGGACCGAACCGACUAAUGUUGAAAAAUUAGCGGAUGACUUGUGGCUAGGGGUGAAAGGCCAAUCAAACUCGGAGAUAGCUGGUUCUCCCCGAAAGCUAUUUAGGUAGCGCCUCGGACGAAUACUACUGGGGGUAGAGCACUGUUAAGGCUAGGGGGUCAUCCCGACUUACCAACCCUUUGCAAACUCCGAAUACCAGUAAGUAAUAUCCGGGAGACACACGGCGGGUGCUAACGUCCGUCGUGGAGAGGGAAACAACCCAGACCGCCAGCUAAGGUCCCAAAGUUAUCGCUAAGUGGGAAACGAUGUGGGAAGGCUCAGACAGCCAGGAUGUUGGCUUAGAAGCAGCCAUCAUUUAAAGAAAGCGUAAUAGCUCACUGGUCGAGUCGGCCUGCGCGGAAGAUGUAACGGGGCUAAGCGAUACACCGAAGCUGCGGCAUCAGUCUUUUAGACUGUUGGGUAGGGGAGCGUUCUGUAAGCCGUUGAAGGUGUACUGAGAAGUAUGCUGGAGGUAUCAGAAGUGCGAAUGCUGACAUGAGUAACGACAAAGGGGGUGAAAAACCUCCUCGCCGGAAGACCAAGGGUUCCUGUCCAACGUUAAUCGGGGCAGGGUAAGUCGACCCCUAAGGCGAGGCCGAAAGGCGUAGUCGAUGGGAAACGGGUUAAUAUUCCCGUACUGCUUAUAACUGCGAUGGGGGGACGGAGAAGGCUAGGUGGGCCUCGCGACGGUUGUCGAGGUUCAAAGGUGUAGGCUGUAUUCUUAGGCAAAUCCGGGAAUACAUUAAGGCUGAGACCUGAUGUCGAGUCACUACGGUGAUGAAGUCAUUGAUGCCAUGCUUCCGGGAAAAGCCUCUAAGCUUCAGGUUAUAAGGAAUCGUACCCCAAACCGACACAGGUGGUCGGGUAGAGAAUACCAAGGCGCUUGAGAGAACUCGGGUGAAGGAACUAGGCAAAAUGGUACCGUAACUUCGGGAGAAGGUACGCUGCCCGCGGUGAAGUCCCUUGCGGAUGGAGCUAUGGGCAGUCGCAGAUACCAGGUGGCUGCAACUGUUUAUUAAAAACAUAGCACUGUGCAAAAUCGAAAGAUGACGUAUACGGUGUGACGCCUGCCCGGUGCCGGAAGGUUAAUUGAUGGGGUUAUCUUCGGAGAAGCUCUUGAUCGAAGCCCCGGUAAACGGCGGCCGUAACUAUAACGGUCCUAAGGUAGCGAAAUUCCUUGUCGGGUAAGUUCCGACCUGCACGAAUGGCGUAAUGAUGGCCACGCUGUCUCCACCCGAGACUCAGUGAAAUUGAAAUCGCAGUGAAGAUGCUGUGUACCCGCGGCUAGACGGAAAGACCCCGUGAACCUUUACUACAGCUUGGCACUGAACAUUGACCCUACAUGUGUAGGAUAGGUGGGAGGCUUUGAAGCAAGUACGCCAGUAUUUGUGGAGCCGUCCUUGAAAUACCACCCUUGUAUGCUUGAUGUUCUAACGUAGGCCCCUUAUCGGGGUUGCGGACAGUGCCUGGUGGGUAGUUUGACUGGGGCGGUCUCCUCCCAAAGAGUAACGGAGGAGCACGAAGGUGGGCUAAUCACGGUCGGACAUCGUGAGGUUAGUGCAAUGGCAUAAGCCCGCUUGACUGCGAGAAUGACGGUUCGAGCAGGUGCGAAAGCAGGUCAUAGUGAUCCGGUGGUUCUGAAUGGAAGGGCCAUCGCUCAACGGAUAAAAGGUACUCCGGGGAUAACAGGCUGAUACCGCCCAAGAGUUCAUAUCGACGGCGGUGUUUGGCACCUCGAUGUCGGCUCAUCACAUCCUGGGGCUGAAGUCGGUCCCAAGGGUAUGGCUGUUCGCCAUUUAAAGUGGUACGCGAGCUGGGUUUAGAACGUCGUGAGACAGUUCGGUCCCUAUCUGCCGUGGGCGUUGGAUGAUUGAGAGGGGCUGCUCCUAGUACGAGAGGACCGGAGUGGACGAACCUCUGGUGUUCGGGUUGUCACGCCAGUGGCAUUGCCCGGUAGCUAAGUUCGGAAUCGAUAACCGCUGAAAGCAUCUAAGCGGGAAGCGAGCCUCAAGAUGAGUCAUCCCUAGGACUAUAAGUCCUCUAAAGGGUUGUUGGAGACUACGACGUAGAUAGGUCAGGUGUGUAAGCGCUGCGAGGCGUUGAGCUAACUGAUACUAAUUGCCCGUGAGGCUUAACCAU
This 2291-nucleotide ribosomal RNA is filed under the name Enterovibrio qingdaonensis. RNAcentral's name for it is "partial 23S ribosomal RNA". It matches the Rfam family "Bacterial large subunit ribosomal RNA", at positions 657 to 2925 of the family's 2925-position model. The record is from RNAcentral. Lineage: Bacteria; Pseudomonadati; Pseudomonadota; Gammaproteobacteria; Vibrionales; Vibrionaceae.